AAAAGAAAGGCCUUACAUAUUUAUUACUGAAUCCAGCCAACCAACGUGUUCAUAACAGAUUCAGAGAGGAAAACACGUCGAAAUCUCCAGAUAGUGGUGACAUUUUCAGCUUGAUAUGGUAACAUGAUCGUGACCUUCAGACAGCAUAAAUAUGUGUGCCAUCUCAUGUGCAAUUCCUUAUAGACCCAGCUUGGUUCUUCUCCAAUGUCUCCUUUUGGAGUUGUACC
Molecule: long non-coding RNA, 227 nt
Filed under: Homo sapiens (human)
Lineage: Eukaryota; Metazoa; Chordata; Mammalia; Primates; Hominidae
Description: HSALNT0408572
Source: RNAcentral